UGGGGAAUAUUGGACAAUGGGCGAAAGCCUGAUCCAGCCAUGCCGCGUGUGUGAAGAAGGUCUUCGGAUUGUAAAGCACUUUAAGUUGGGAGGAAGGGCAGUAAGCGAAUACCUUGCUGUUUUGACGUUACCGACAGAAUAAGCACCGGCUAACUCUGUGCCAGCAGCCGCGGUAAUACAGAGGGUGCAAGCGUUAAUCGGAAUUACUGGGCGUAAAGCGCGCGUAGGUGGUUCGUCAAGUUGAAUGUGAAAGCCCCGGGCUCAACCUGGGAACUGCAUCCAAAACUGGCGAGCUAGAGUAGGGCAGAGGGUGGUGGAAUUUCCUGUGUAGCGGUGAAAUGCGUAGAUAUAUGAAGGAACACCAGUGGCGAAGGCGACCACCUGGGCUCAUACUGACACUGAGGUGCGAAAGCGUGGGGAGCAAACAGG
Molecule: ribosomal RNA, 429 nt
Filed under: Pseudomonadota bacterium
Lineage: Bacteria; Pseudomonadati; Pseudomonadota
Description: Proteobacteria bacterium partial 16S ribosomal RNA
Rfam family: Bacterial small subunit ribosomal RNA
Source: RNAcentral